UGGUUUGACCAGAGCAAUGGUUUGCGAAGCCUUGGGGUGAUGGAGAUGGCUGAACCACAGAGUAUUGCAGCUGAUUCAGAGGAGGAGGAGGUCCUCUGGUAGUUUCAUAGGUGUCCAUGGAGUGCAAAAGAUUCGAAAUGGCUGCAGCGAUGGUGGAGAUUCAAUAAGAGGUCCAAUAGGACAGGGCUAGAUGGCUGAUCUUGGAUCAGAUUUUAACUUCUGCAG
RNAcentral lists this long non-coding RNA (225 nucleotides) under Elaeis guineensis (African oil palm). RNAcentral's name for it is "long non-coding RNA (EGUI_LNC069519)". The record is from RNAcentral. Lineage: Eukaryota; Viridiplantae; Streptophyta; Magnoliopsida; Arecales; Arecaceae.